Long non-coding RNA from Gordionus sp. m RMFG-2023, 279 nucleotides. RefSeq lists it as uncharacterized. The record is from RefSeq and is a predicted model, not a curated record. NCBI's taxonomy places the organism in Eukaryota, Metazoa, Nematomorpha, Gordioida, Chordodea, Parachordodidae. The transcript has 3 exons.
AUUUAAGGUGGUACUUAUUUAUAUAUAAUUAUCUUUUACCUUCAAAAAAAAAUUAAAAUUAAAAAAUGUUGGAGAAUAUCUUUAUAUGCUUAUUAUUAUGUACAUUCCUAAUCGCCGUUACAGUUGUCGAGACAAGAAGCAAUGAAUGUGGGUUUGGCAAAUUUGGAACUAAUUGCACUUUAGAUUGCCAGUGUAACCAGAAUGGGUCAACCGGAAAUCGCUCCUUCUACGGGAUCUGUUAUUGUCACGAAGGUUACUGGGGAUUAAAAUGCCAAAGAA